CCUACGGGUGGCAGCAGUGAGGAAUAUUGGUCAAUGGCCGGAAGGCUGAACCAGCCAUGCCGCGUGAAGGUCAGUGCCUUAUGGGCGGUAAACUUCUUUUGUUCGGGAGCAAUAAUGGUCACGUGUGGCCAGACGAGCGUACCGUACGCAUAAGCAUCGGCUAACUACGUGCCAGCAGCCGCGGUAAUACGGGGGAUGCAAGCGUUAUCCGGAUGUAUGGGGUUAAAAGGGUGCGGAGGGGGACAGUUAAGUCAGCGGUAAAAAUGCGGUGCUAAACGCCGUACAGCCGUUGAAACUGGCAGUCUUGAGUGGGCGAGAAGUAUGCGGAAUGCGUGGUGUAGGGGUGAAAUGCAUAGAGAUCAAGCAGAACGCCGAUUGCGAAGGCAGCAUACCGGCGCCCGACUGACGCUGAGGCACGAAAGCGUGGGUAUCGAACAGGAUUAGAUACCCGGGUAGUC
Molecule: ribosomal RNA, 458 nt
Filed under: uncultured bacterium
Lineage: Bacteria
Description: partial 16S ribosomal RNA
Rfam family: Bacterial small subunit ribosomal RNA
Source: RNAcentral